Molecule: ribosomal RNA, 218 nt
Filed under: Escherichia coli
Lineage: Bacteria; Pseudomonadati; Pseudomonadota; Gammaproteobacteria; Enterobacterales; Enterobacteriaceae
Description: partial 23S ribosomal RNA
Rfam family: Bacterial large subunit ribosomal RNA
Source: RNAcentral
AAAGAAAGCGUAAUAGCUCACUGGUCGAGUCGGCCUGCGCGGAAGAUGUAACGGGGCUAAACCAUGCACCGAAGCUGCGGCAGCGACGCUGAUGCGUUGUUGGGUAGGGGAGCGUUCUGUAAGCCUGUGAAGGUGUGCUGUGAGGCAUGCUGGAGGUAUCAGAAGUGCGAAUGCUGACAUAAGUAACGAUAAAGCGGGUGAAAAGCCCGCUCGCCGGA